ACUAACAAGGAUUCCCCUAGUAACUGCGAGUGAAGAGGGAAGAGCUCAAAUUUGAAAUCUGGCAGUGUUUUGCUGUCCGAGUUGUAAUCUAGAGAAGUGCUGCCCGUGCUGGACCAUGUACAAGUCUCCUGGAAUGGAGCGUCACAGAGGGUGAGAAUCCCGUCUUUGACAUGGACUGCCAGUGCAUUUGUGGUGUGCUCUCAAAGAGUCGAGUUGUUUGGGAAUGCAGCUCUAAAUGGGUGGUAAACUCCAUCUAAAGCUAAAUAUUGGCGAGAGACCGAUAGCGAACAAGUACCGUGAGGGAAAGAUGAAAAGAACUUUGGAAAGAGAGUUAAACAGUAUGUGAAAUUGUUGAAAGGGAAACGCUUAAAGUCAGUCGUAUCGGCCAGGGAUCAACUCAGUAUUAUCUGCUGGGUGUACUUCCUGAUCUGAUGGGCCAACAUCAGUUUUGACUGCUGGAAAAGGAUAGAGGGAAUGUGGCACCUUUGGGUGUGUUAUAGCUCUCUGUCGGAUGCAGUGGUUGGGACUGAGGAAAGCAGCAUGCCGCAAGGCCGGGUCGUUUCGACCACGUUCAUGCUGAGGAUGUUGGCAUAAUGGCUUUAAUCGACCCGUCUUGAAACACGGACCAAGGAGUCUAACAUGCCUGCGAGUGUUUGGGUGGCAAACCCGAGUGCGGAAUGAAAGUGAAAGGUUGAGAUCCCUGUCAUGGGGAGCAUCGACGCCCGGACCUGAGCUCUUGCAAAGGAUCUGCGGUAGAGCAUGUAUGUUAGGACCCGAAAGAUGGUGAACUAUGCCUGAAUAGGGUGAAGCCAGAGGAAACUCUGGUGGAGGCUCNUAGCGAUUCUGACGUGCAAAUCGAUCGUCGAAUUUGGGUAUAGGGGCGAAAGACUAAUCGA
Molecule: ribosomal RNA, 896 nt
Filed under: Amanita pantherina
Lineage: Eukaryota; Fungi; Basidiomycota; Agaricomycetes; Agaricales; Amanitaceae
Description: LSU rRNA
Rfam family: Eukaryotic large subunit ribosomal RNA
Source: RNAcentral